AUCUGAUACUUGUUCCUUUCACCAUUAUUAACCUUUUUGGAUUCAUUACAUUACCUUGAGCAAACUUAAUACUUCAAGUAAAUAACUACCACUAUAAUACGGUAACGACUACAAACAAUUCAAAAUAAAGCGGGAGAUCAUACUUUGUUAGACACUCCCUUAUCAGUAAGGGUCACAUACACACACACACAGCUUCAUACCAAACUAUUCUCACCGAAACCAAAAAAACUUGGUUUUA
RNAcentral lists this long non-coding RNA (238 nucleotides) under Brassica napus (rape). RNAcentral describes it as "long non-coding RNA (BNAP_LNC003013)". Lineage: Eukaryota; Viridiplantae; Streptophyta; Magnoliopsida; Brassicales; Brassicaceae. The record is from RNAcentral.